AGCUCCAAUAGCGUAUAUUAAAGUUGUUGCAGUUAAAAAGCUCGUAGUUGGAUUUGUGGCGUAUGGUGUGUUCCGGGCACUUGUUGUCUGAGUAACUUGCCAUUGCCAUCCUUGGGUGGAACCUGUGUGGCAUUAAGUUGUCGUGCAGGGGAUGCCCAUCGUUUACUGUGAAAAAAUUAGAGUGUUCAAAGCAGGCUUAUGCCGUUGAAUAUAUUAGCAUGGAAUAAUAAGAUAGGACUUUUUCGCUAUUUUGUUGGUUUGCGCGGAGAGGUAAUGAUUAAUAGGGAUAGUUGGGGGUAUUCGUAUUCCAUUGUCAGAGGUGAAAUUCUUGGAUUUUUGGAAGACGAACUACUGCGAAAGCAUUUACCAAGGAUGUUUUCAUUAAUCAAGAACGAAAGUA
Molecule: ribosomal RNA, 400 nt
Filed under: phytoplankton environmental sample
Lineage: Eukaryota
Description: partial small subunit ribosomal RNA
Rfam family: Eukaryotic small subunit ribosomal RNA
Source: RNAcentral